This 277-nucleotide ribosomal RNA is filed under the name uncultured bacterium. Its description in RNAcentral is "partial 16S ribosomal RNA". It matches the Rfam family "Bacterial small subunit ribosomal RNA", at positions 331 to 627 of the family's 1533-position model. The record is from RNAcentral.
UCUAACCUACGGGGCGCAGCAGUGGGGGAUAUUGCACAAUGGGGGGAACCCUGAUGCAGCGACGCCGCGUGAAGGAAGAAGUAUCUCGGUAUGUAAACUUCUAUCAGCAGGGAAGAAAAUGACGGUACGUGACUAAGAAGCCCCGGCUAACUACGUGCCAGCAGCCGCGGUAAUACGUAGGGGGCAAGCGUUAUCCGGAUUUACUGGGUGUAAAGGGAGCGGAGGCGGCAGUGCAAGACAGAAGUGAAAGCCCGGGGCUCAACUCCGGGACUGCUUU